CAGUAGCCGCGGGAAUACGGAGGGUGUAAGCGUUAAUCGGAAUUACUGGGCGUAAAGCGUGCGUAGGCGGUUCGUUAAGUCUGUUGUGAAAGCCCCGGGCUCAACCUGGGAAUGGCAAUGGAUACUGGCGAGCUAGAGUGUGUCAGAGGAUGGUGGAAUUCCCGGUGUAGCGGUGAAAUGCGUAGAGAUCGGGAGGAACAUCAGUGGCGAAGGCGGCCAUCUGGGACAACACUGACGCUGGGGCACGAAAGCGUGGGGAGCAAACAGGAUUAGAUACCCGAGUAGUCCCUGUCUCUUAUAC
This 301-nucleotide ribosomal RNA is filed under the name uncultured bacterium. RNAcentral's name for it is "partial 16S ribosomal RNA". It matches the Rfam family "Bacterial small subunit ribosomal RNA", at positions 509 to 807 of the family's 1533-position model. The record is from RNAcentral.